Long non-coding RNA from Aquila chrysaetos chrysaetos, 394 nucleotides. RefSeq lists it as uncharacterized. The transcript is spliced from 3 exons. Lineage: Eukaryota; Metazoa; Chordata; Aves; Accipitriformes; Accipitridae. The record is from RefSeq and is a predicted model, not a curated record.
CUAAUAUACACCAGAGCAAGGAACCUGCAAGGAACAGAAGAGGGGAAAAAUAAAGAGGAGUGAAAACAAAGAGCCAGUUUCUGCUCUAAGGUGGCUAGAAGAGGAAUCAGCUGUGGGAUUACCUACUCUAAUGAUACAAGUCAGACAGCUUUGCCUGGCAGGAGUGGGGCUAUGAAGACAACAGACUCCUCCAACAGAAGCUACAAGUUGCACCACUCACUCCAGCAGUGCCUGGUAUCCGCUGGAUUACACGCACAUUCAGGAAGGGACCAUUUGGACGAUACAUGUUGCCACAUCCUGGUAACGGAGAUCUGCCAGCUCCAGCGAGCCUCCCGUACCACGCUGAGCAUCCCUACAGCUACCUCUGCGUAACCCUCCUGGGGGCAGGUCCUCC